UACGAGAGGGGCUAGCGUUGUUCGGAAUUACUGGGCGUAAAGCGCACGUAGGCGGACCUGAAAGUUGGGGGUGAAAUCCCGGAGCUCAACUCCGGAACUGCCUUUGAAACUGCUGAUCUGGAGGAUGCGGGAGGUGAGUGGAAUUCCGAGUGUAGAGGUGAAAUUCGUAGAUAUUCGGAAGAACACCAGUGGCGAAGGCGGCUCACUGGCGCAUUUCUGACGCUGAGGUGCGAAAGCGUGGGGAGCAAACAGG
This 253-nucleotide ribosomal RNA is filed under the name uncultured bacterium. Its description in RNAcentral is "partial 16S ribosomal RNA". It matches the Rfam family "Bacterial small subunit ribosomal RNA", at positions 524 to 776 of the family's 1533-position model. The record is from RNAcentral.